UUAGUUUUGUAGCUCGUGAGUGUGCUGAUGGGCUAUUCUCGUGUGUUUGCGAGGUACCACCCUCAAACUUUGUUAUGAUGUUGGCUCAUUACCCAUCUGAUA
This is a small nucleolar RNA of Macaca fascicularis (crab-eating macaque), 102 nucleotides long. The record is from Ensembl. Lineage: Eukaryota; Metazoa; Chordata; Mammalia; Primates; Cercopithecidae.